AAGAUGAGCUUGCAAGGGAUGAAAUGAUUGGACAUUUUAUCUCACAAUUCUGACUUUUCUUGAAUUUCUGAGAAAAAAAGUCUGAAUUGUAAGAUAUUGUCAGACUCUGUUUCAUGUCUCGUGUUGUGUUUUCCUUCCCCACGUGCUCCAGUUUGAUUAUGCCCUUAUAUGGUUUUUCCAUUUCUGUCAUUAUGUUUCAUUUGUUCCAGGUGUGUCUCUUUAGUUACUGUGUAUUUAAAGUGUGUUCUGCCCCUCGUUCCCGUCCUCUGUUAAUUAUCAUUUUGUGUUCUGUGGUUCAGCUUUGUGUUGAGUAAAUACUUGGAAUUUACUUUACCUCUCGUCUCCUCUCUCCUUCGUUCCCAUGCUCCCAGUGUGUACCAUGACUGAUAUAAGCUUGCAAUUGUGAGGAAAAAUCAAGCUUGAUGCUUCCAGUCCACCAGUGAGGUCUAGUCCAAGGUCAAGGUCUCCUGCAUCUACAGUGGAAGAGUUUGAUGAAUGUGAUCAAUCAUGUUUAAGAGCUGAUAUACAGUCUGUCCUCCUGCAGGAGAAAUCAGUUCCUGAGCAGCUAAAACACACAUCCAGCGCUGCUGCUCCAGCCGUCACUGAUAGAGAUACCAGACGGACAACAGCUAUAGCAAUGCAUCCAAACCUAGAAACUACACACUACAGACAUCCAGCUUCUGCUUUUGAGGACGAGACACUACUGUUUUUCCCUCCUGCACGGAGUCUAACCUUUGCCUCACCAGCAUUCACUACUUUAUAGUUUUAUGCCUAUCUAUAAACUGUUUUUACAGAGCGGUUUGUUCAUCAUUCAGCUGAUUUAUAUACCUCUUUAUUCCAUGGAGAAAACAUACUUGUUUAUUUCCUGGCUGUCGACAGUCGUUUCUGAUAAAAAGAGAUCAAAUAAACCUGGCUUAAUGCAGUGUUCAGGUUUCCGUUCUAGAAAUGUAUGCAAAGUCGUGCAUAUUAAAUUAAACACAGUUUGCAUAUUUAAAUAUAACAUUUCAGAAUCAGCUGUUUUACUGUGCUGUGUGCUAUAUGGUAUGAUAUAAACAGUGAGAUCUGCUAAUCUGUCAUUUUCGUUCAAGCUGCUAUUAAUAUGACAUCUAAACAAUAACACGAACUGUAAUGUAAAAGUUUUUUUAGAAUUAAUUGUUGGUUAUCUUUUACAGUAAAUACAUAAUUUUACUGUAUGGACACUGAAGUAGAAAGGAUGAUGUACCGUUGGUUAUUUCUAGGUGUGUGAUGCUUCACAUUUGUUUGUUUUAUUUAAACAGUAUUGUUUUUCUG
Molecule: long non-coding RNA, 1290 nt
Organism: Cyprinus carpio carpio
Lineage: Eukaryota; Metazoa; Chordata; Actinopteri; Cypriniformes; Cyprinidae
Source: Ensembl